This 254-nucleotide ribosomal RNA is filed under the name uncultured bacterium. Its description in RNAcentral is "partial 16S ribosomal RNA". It matches the Rfam family "Bacterial small subunit ribosomal RNA", at positions 524 to 776 of the family's 1533-position model. The record is from RNAcentral.
UACGUAGGGCGCAAGCGUUAUCCGGAAUUAUUGGGCGUAAAGAGCUCGUAGGCGGUUUGUCGCGUCUGCCGUGAAAGUCCGGGGCUCAACUCCGGAUCUGCGGUGGGGUACGGGCAGACUAGAGUGAUGUAGGGGAGACUGGAAUUCCUGGUGUAGCGGUGAAAUGCGCAGAUAUCAGGAGGAACACCGAUGGCGAAGGCAGGUCUCUGGGCAUUAACUGACGCUGAGGAGCGAAAGCAUGGGGAGCGAACAGG